RNAcentral lists this ribosomal RNA (436 nucleotides) under Euhadra dixoni. RNAcentral's name for it is "partial 16S ribosomal RNA". Lineage: Eukaryota; Metazoa; Mollusca; Gastropoda; Stylommatophora; Camaenidae. The record is from RNAcentral.
CGAAAUAGUUUGAGCUAAACAUUUUGUAAUUUUAGUUGCUAGUAAUUGGUGUUGCAUAACCAAUUUUGGAAGUUUUGUUUAGGGGUGAUAGGCCAAUCAAAAACUAGGAUAUCUUGAACCUUAUUAAAGGUAUGUAGUACAUAUAAUACAUUUACUAAGUGAUUAGGCUUGGUAACAUUAUUAAUUUAUAUAAUUAUUUAUAUUAUGAUAUAAAAACCAAAUGUAAGCGCAAGUUAAUAUACUGCUAUAAUAGUUUAUAAGGAGUAAUUUGGUGCAGCCAAGCUUGAUUGCCUGUUAAUAAUGUUGAUAUUAGUACACAUAAUAUAUUUAUUUAAUGAACUCGGCAAUUAUGCUUCUCGGCUGUUUAUCAAAAACAUAACUGCGUGUAUUUAUACGUAGCGGUUUCUGCUCAAUGAUUAAUUAAAUAGCCGCAGUA